GAGUUUGAUCCUGGCUCAGGAUGAACGCUGGCGGCGUGCCUAACACAUGCAAGUCGAGCGAUCUUCUUCGGAAGAGAGCGGCGGACGGGUGAGUAACGCGUGGGUAACCUGCCCUGUACACACGGAUAACAUACCGAAAGGUAUGCUAAUACGAGAUAAUAUGCUUUUAUCGCAUGGUAGAAGUAUCAAAGCUCUGGCGGUACAGGAUGGACCCGCGUCUGAUUAGCUAGUUGGUAAGGUAACGGCUUACCAAGGCGACGAUCAGUAGCCGACCUGAGAGGGUGAUCGGCCACAUUGGAACUGAGACACGGUCCAAACUCCUACGGGAGGCAGCAGUGGGGAAUAUUGCACAAUGGGCGAAAGCCUGAUGCAGCAACGCCGCGUGAGCGAUGAAGGCCUUCGGGUCGUAAAGCUCUGUCCUCAAGGAAGAUAAUGACGGUACUUGAGGAGGAAGCCCCGGCUAACUACGUGCCAGCAGCCGCGGUAAUACGUAGGGGGCUAGCGUUAUCCGGAAUUACUGGGCGUAAAGGGUGCGUAGGUGGUUUCUUAAGUCAGAGGUGAAAGGCUACGGCUCAACCGUAGUAAGCCUUUGAAACUGGGAAACUUGAGUGCAGGAGAGGAGAGUGGAAUUCCUAGUGUAGCGGUGAAAUGCGUAGA
Molecule: ribosomal RNA, 657 nt
Filed under: uncultured bacterium
Lineage: Bacteria
Description: bacterial SSU rRNA
Rfam family: Bacterial small subunit ribosomal RNA
Source: RNAcentral